AACGAACGCUGGCGGCAGGCCUAACACAUGCAAGUCGAGCGCGCCCUUCGGGGUGAGCGGCGGACGGGUGAGUAACGCGUGGGAACGUGCCCUUUUCUACGGAAUAGCCUCGGGAAACUGAGAGUAAUACCGUAUACGCCCUUUGGGGGUAAGAUUUAUCGGAAAAGGAUCGGCCCGCGUUGGAUUAGGUAGUUGGUGGGGUAAUGGCCUACCAAGCCGUCGAUCCAUAGCUGGUUUGAGAGGAUGAUCAGCCACACUGGGACUGAGACACGGCCCAGACUCCUACGGGAGGCAGCAGUGGGGAAUCUUAGACAAUGGGGGCAACCCUGAUCUAGCCAUGCCGCGUGAGUGAUGAAGGCCUUAGGGUUGUAAAGCUCUUUCAGCUGGGAAGAUAAUGACGGUACCAGCAGAAGAAGCCCCGGCUAACUCCGUG
This 433-nucleotide ribosomal RNA is filed under the name uncultured bacterium. Its description in RNAcentral is "partial 16S ribosomal RNA". It matches the Rfam family "Bacterial small subunit ribosomal RNA", at positions 29 to 507 of the family's 1533-position model. The record is from RNAcentral.